UUAUUAGUUUGGUAGUCGUCAGUUCUCUGGAACUUAAUCACCUCUCAGCUCACGGUUACGUUUUACCUUUAAAUCAGCUCGUCAUGAUUGCAUCAGAACAUCAGUUACUCUUUCUUCUUCGUCUAUCUUCUACAAUCUCACGUUGAUUAAAUAUACAUCGGGUCUUUUCUUCGUUUAUGAUCUAAGAAGCCUAAGCAGCAAACAACAAAUUGAGGAUUGAGAAGGCUGAUGUGUAGUUGCGUGAGUCAGUAUGUCAAAGAGAACGUAGCUUUGGAAAUCUGAGCUUAGGUAUGGAAGGCAAGCCUGAGGUCAUCGGUAAGAUCUUCUUUUUCUCUCAUAACCAGUUCCUUGGUUGUCUCUGAUUUUGAAUUCAUCAAUCCAUCCACAGCCCAAAAACAGGUUUGAAUUCACAAACAGGUUUGAAUUCUUGACAUGAGACUUCUCUUAGUUUUACACCAAAGCAAAUAAGUAUGGAAUCUUACAAGAUACUUAUUUUUGUGGUUCCAGCUGCUUCUCCAUCCUGACUCUGAUGAUUACGCUUAGCUAUCCCAGGUAAGAAAAAGAAUAAGAAGAAGAAAAAAUAAAUGUUGGAGAUAAUAUGUUGCAAAAAGAAAUUUGGAAUCUUAGAUGUUUUUUUUCCUUCCUUCUCCAUAUUCAGACGGGAAAGCUUUUGACCUAUAUUACUUACUGAAAUGAACAAGCGCUUUGUUUAAAUGGUGACAUGGAAACAAUGACCAACUCUAAAAGUCAUGUAAACAAGUGGAAAUCUGGUGCUGUACCUACUAAAAUUGGCAGACGUACAAUUCAUCCGAUUUGUCACAGCCUUUGAGACACAACACAGAGAAACCCACGACCUCUUCAAUAUGAUGGUCCCUGAUGCUGCAGAUUACAUGGGACGUAUGAUGGUCCCUGAUGCUGCAGAUUACAUGAGACGUAUCAAUAGUCUUCUCCUUCUAGAGCUCUUAAUCUCUCUGAAGUUGAUCUUUUAAUUGAUCUUUGUGUUGUUUAUAGUUUUUUAAUAGAGAAAAGAAUUAUCAUGGUAAGAUACUACAAGGCUGUGGGAGAUUAGCAAGUAAGCCAGAGGAAGAAUCAAAUUAAGAGAAGAAAAAGAAUGCUCUGAUUUUUGUAUACACCAUACAAGAUGCUACUACUCUUAGACUUGGUGGUGAAGAGUGAAUGGAAUGGAAUGGAAUGGACAAGAAAAAAAAGAACAAUGAUAACAACA
Long non-coding RNA from Brassica oleracea var. oleracea, 1225 nucleotides. RefSeq lists it as uncharacterized. Lineage: Eukaryota; Viridiplantae; Streptophyta; Magnoliopsida; Brassicales; Brassicaceae. The transcript is spliced from 3 exons. The record is from RefSeq and is a predicted model, not a curated record.